UAAUGGCCCACCAAGGCGACGAUCGGUAGCUGGUCUGAGAGGACCACCAGCCACACUGGAACUGAGACACGGUCCAUACUCCUACGGGAGGCAGCAGUGGGGAAUAUUGGACGAUGGGGGCAACCCUGAUCCAGCCAUGCCGCGUGGGUGAAGAAGGCCUUCGGGUUGUAAAGCCCUUUUGUACGGGAAGAAAAGCUCCGGGUUAACAGCCGGUAGUCAUGACGGUACCGUAAGAAUAACCACCGGCUAACUUCGUGCCAGCAGCCGCGGUAAUACGAAUGGUGCAAGCGUUACUCGGAAUUACUGGUCGUAAAGCGUGCGUAGGCGGUGGUUUAAGUCUGAUGUGAAAUCCCCCGGCUCAACCUGGUGAAUGGCAUUGGCUACUGCAUCGCUAGAGUACGGUAGAGGGUGGUGGUAAUUUCCCGGUGUAGCAGAUGAAAUG
This 442-nucleotide ribosomal RNA is filed under the name uncultured Gammaproteobacteria bacterium. RNAcentral describes it as "bacterial SSU rRNA". It matches the Rfam family "Bacterial small subunit ribosomal RNA", at positions 258 to 688 of the family's 1533-position model. Lineage: Bacteria; Pseudomonadati; Pseudomonadota; Gammaproteobacteria. The record is from RNAcentral.